RNAcentral lists this ribosomal RNA (253 nucleotides) under uncultured bacterium. RNAcentral's name for it is "partial 16S ribosomal RNA". It matches the Rfam family "Bacterial small subunit ribosomal RNA", at positions 524 to 776 of the family's 1533-position model. The record is from RNAcentral.
UACGUAGGGGGCUAGGGUUGUCCGGAUUUAUUGGGCGUAAAGAGCGCGUAGGCGGCCGAGUAAGUCCGACGUGAAAUCUGGAGGCUCAACCUCCAGCGGUCGUUGGAAACUACUCGGCUAGAGUCCGGAAGAGGAGAGUGGAAUUCCUGGUGUAGCGGUGAAAUGCGCAGAUAUCAGGAAGAACACCGAUGGCGAAAGCAGCUCUCUGGGACGGUAUUGACGCUGAGGCGCGAAAGCGUGGGGAGCGAACAGG